UGUGUGAGUCUACUUGGUAGUCUCUGAUUGGGAAGAACUUCUGGGAUCAUCGCAUCCCAUCCCCAGAGUCUGAGGAUGAGGCCCAGGGAGGGAGAGCAAGGAGUCGAGGUGGGAUAAGAAGGCACCUUGUCCUACCAUCUUUCCACAUCCAAGACCUUCCCCGAAGCACUAAGGGGCCCCCGGGGACAUCGAUCGAUUUCUGCCUCUUUUCAGAUGUAUCUGGCAAACACAUGUGGUCUCCCUCUUUCUCACUGCCUCUCCGAUCCCUUCUUCUAUUAUCUCACAGACUCUCCAAAUGGAAGGUGGCAUGGACCAGUCCAAUCCUUGACCAACGUAUAAAAUGCCUUUUCCAGUGUUCCUGAAAGGCAACGGCAGGACCACUUCUUAGAAGCCAACAUAGGAUCUCAGGGCUCUGAGGUAGGAGGGGAUGGUGGGGAGGCAAAGGAACAUCAUGAUGUAUUUCUAAUUUUCAACAUCUGAAUGAUUUAGAUCAAAAGGUAAAGAAAGCACGAUAUAAAUGAAAGGUACCAGAUCUUAACUUUGCCCUCCAUACUCCGUAUCUAACUUGCAACCGUCUUUUUCUUUUCUUUAGACCUUAGUUUCCCCCCCUUUAAAAUGAGAGAUGAGCUCAAUGAAUAUUCUAGAAUGUCCAGCAACCUGCUAAGUGGCC
This 670-nucleotide long non-coding RNA is filed under the name Monodelphis domestica (gray short-tailed opossum). Its description in RNAcentral is "lncRNA (ENSMODG00000032273.2)". The record is from RNAcentral. Lineage: Eukaryota; Metazoa; Chordata; Mammalia; Didelphimorphia; Didelphidae.